GUCGAGGGGCAGCGAGUAGAUUGCUUGCAAUCUACGUCGGCGACCGGCGCACGGGUGCGUAACGCGUAGCAACCUACCCAUUACAGGGGGAUAACACUGAGAAAUCGGUACUAAUACCCCAUAACAUCCAGGGAGGCAUCUUCUUGGGUUGAAAACUCCGGUGGUAAUGGAUGGGCAUGCGUUGUAUUAGUUAGUUGGUGGGGUAACGGCUCACCAAGACGACGAUACAUAGGGGGACUGAGAGGUUAACCCUCCACAUUGGUACUGAGACACGGACCAAACUCCUACGGGAGGCAGCAGUGAGGAAUAUUGGUCAAUGGACGCAAGUCUGAACCAGCCAUGCCGCGUGCAGGAAGACGGCUCUAUGAGUUGUAAACUGCUUUUGUACGAGGGUAAACGCAGAUACGUGUAUCUGUCUGAAAGUAUCGUACGAAUAAGGAUCGGCUAACUCCGUGCCAGCAGCCGCGGUAAUACGGAGGAUUCAAGCGUUAUCCGGAUUUAUUGGGUUUAAAGGGUGCGUAGGCGGUCGGAUAAGUUAGAGGUGAAAUCCCGGGGCUCAACUUCGGAAUUGCCUCUGAUACUGUUCGGCUAGAGAGUAGUUGCGGUAGGCGGAAUGUAUGGUGUAGCGGUGAAAUGCUUAGAGAUCAUACAGAACACCGAUUGCGAAGGCAGCUUACCAAGCUACUUCUGACGUUGAGGCACGAAAGCGUGGGGAGCAAACAGGAUUAGAUACCCUGGUAGUCCACGCAGUAAACGAUGAUAACUCGUUGUCGGCGA
This 777-nucleotide ribosomal RNA is filed under the name uncultured bacterium. RNAcentral describes it as "bacterial SSU rRNA". It matches the Rfam family "Bacterial small subunit ribosomal RNA", at positions 61 to 829 of the family's 1533-position model. The record is from RNAcentral.